Molecule: long non-coding RNA, 981 nt
Organism: Puntigrus tetrazona (Sumatra barb)
Lineage: Eukaryota; Metazoa; Chordata; Actinopteri; Cypriniformes; Cyprinidae
Exons: 3
Source: RefSeq, a predicted model, not a curated record
GAGAGAGGAGAGAGGAGAGGAGAGAGAGGCUUUGGGCAUUCCCUCACAUUCCACUUGACAGAUCUGCGCGGUGAAGCUGCUGCUCCUGUAGUGAGUGGAAGAAACGCAUAUUCUCCUCAGCGCUCGAGGAGGAUUCAUCACGAGAGCACAAUGCAGGAGGAUGGCAAGGUGGUGGAUGGCAGUCUUCUGGGUGAUGCCAAUGGGGUGGAGCCUGGCACGGGUCGACAGAAAGAGAGCGGCAAAUGGCAGAGGCCUCGAUUCACGCGGAAAGCCCUCAUGAGGUGCUGCCUGGUCAAAUGGAUCAUCGCCAGCACCGGACCCAAAGAGCAAGGUGGCAUCUGACAGAGACCAAGUCAAAAUGAUGCUAUGAUGUUCAGAACGCUCAGCUGGUGCCGUCUAGUGGUUACAUGGGGAAACAAACUGGUCUGACGCAUUAGCUCGUGUGAAUCAGACGCAUUUAGUCAUGUUACGUGCACAAUAUUAGAGGACAAAAUGCUUUUAUGAAUGUUUAUACAUUUUUAAUGAACUGAUUUUCAACCAAGCAGCUGCGAUGUGUACAUAAUAAGUAUUUGUCAUGAUGCUGUAUUGAUUUAAUUGUUUUUUUCGCUCUCGAGAUUGCUGAAAGAGCUCAGAGAAUAACCCAUAAGAGAGCUGAGAGAGACACUGAAACAGUUUGUGGCACCAUUAAAAGAAAGUGGUAUUCUAGGCAGGAUCAGGAAAUCAGAGAUUGGCUUGCAAAUGGGGAAAUUAGAGAGGGCUAUAGGAAGAGUGAAAGAAGAGACAAAGGAUAAGAAGUGUAUCAGAUUUAAGCUAGUGGCCCUAUAUAUUUACAAUGCUUAAACCACGCCUUAAAAAUGUAUAAAUGUUAAUUUAUCAGAUUCAAUUUUUAUUCUUUAAAGCUAUUUAAAAUCUUAAUAUUGCCUAUACUAUGUAAUGAAUGAUGAACAUUUAUGGCUGGGGUUUAAAAUUGAGGGUCUGGGG